GGCAGGAGAAGGGGGGGGGGAGUUGUGGACUGAGUAUGUCUGCAGGAGAGAGUGAAGAGAGCUAGAAUUCCGCCGCUCUGACCCUGGAAACGGGCUGCUAGCAGGACUGACGUCCUUUGGAUGUUCACUGACAGUGCUUAGAACAUUCAUUGACAGCUAGCUAAAUAAGAGAAAUACAUUGUUUCUACUGUCUCCUGCUGUUUCUAAAAAGGAGUAAAGUAACUGAAAAUUGAAACUAACUUUGGAUUGUUUGAACUGCGUUUAAAAGAGGACAUUACUGAUUAAUACAAAAUAACAUAAAUAGAAACUGUUUCCCCCUAGUGGAAGCCUUUGAAACUGGUUGCUUUACAAGAGUUGGGCUGGGGGAAUUUCCAGCUGCAAGAUAAAAAACUGUGAGACUCUGGGACUGACCUUGAAUCUUUUAAGUGUUAUGGCAAAUGGAAAGGAAAAAACAGAUCAACCAACUGCUGAAAAAACAUUAAGGUCUGGGAAGACUUGGCAGCAACCCAGGAGAGGUGCAACACCAGGCCCUCCUGCUUCCUCUGCUGCUGCUUCUGCAUCAGUGCAACCAAAAUCAAGGGGAAUGUUGUCAGAAGAGGUUUUAGCGGUUGCAUUAGGUAAGAUAAACGAUUCAUUGGAACAGCUUAAUAAGAAAGUGGAUGUUGCAGCGGAAAGCAUAAACAAUUUGGGACUAAAGGUGAAUACCAAUACAGAAACUAUUCAGAAAUUGAUACAGGAAUCUACUCUGAUACGGCAGACUGCGGAGGAAGCCAGGGAGAAAGCUGUUGCUGCUGAAUGUAAAGUAACACAACUGGAGAAAGAGAGAGUCCCAGCCCUACAGAGGCAACUUGAUGAGCAUUAAAAAUCAUAUUGUUAGAAAAGCAUUGUUUAAUGUUUGGAUAAGAUAUAAAGAUUUGCUAGAAAAGAAAACCCCAAGAUGGUUGCCACCUGCUGGGAAGUUUUUGCCUCUGCACAUGAGUCUGAGAAUGUUCUGAAUAGUUCACAUUGAGUUCUUGAAACAUCACACCCUGACCUGUUCUUAAUGCAUUGUUGACCACAUCUACGGACUGCGAUUGUUAUGUUCUUUCAAGUCAUGCAAUAUCAAUCACUAGUAACCAUGUGUUCCCUUUCCCAACCUUCAUGAUUAAUGCCCUUGCAUUGUAUUCAUGUUAACCAAUCAGCAACAAGCACAUAUGUGGAAAUGCUGUAAUAUUCAAUAAAAGGGACUUCCCGAGCACAUGAUCGGGAGAUGCCUCCCGUAUGACACCUUGCCAUUCAUCUGUCGCUUAUUUCAACCCAACAGUCACCAAUGGAAGCGAAGGCACAGAAAAAACUCAAUAUGGAGGCCAAAUGGCUGAAAUAUUGGGAAAUUCUGGAACAAGAUGGAGACAGACUAAAAUUGCAGAGUUUUGAAAAAUUGAAAAAUAAAGUGCGAGAUUGGCUCCAUUAUUACCAAAUAAUGGAGGCAUACAAUUUGGACAAAAAAGUUGGUUUCCAGGUGGAAAAAUCAAAAUUGGAAACAGAACUGUUAGAUCCAAAAAUCAAGAAUUUGUCAAGAAUGUAUAACUUGCUGUUGAAAUGGAACACUCAGGAUGAAACGGUGAAAUCAGCUAUGAUUAAAUGGGCACAAGAUGUUGGACAUAAUAUAAUGAUGGCUGACUGGGAACAGUUAUGGACCACAGGUAUGAAAUUCACUGCAUGUAAUGCCUUAAGAGAAAAUUUAAUGAAAAUGAUUUAUAGGUGGUACAUGACACCAGUCAAGCUUGCAAAAAUUUACCAUUUGCCCGACAAUAAAUGUUGGAAAUGUAAGGAGACUGAAGGUACAUUCUUUCACCUUUGGUGGACAUGCCCAAGGAUUAAGACAUACUGGGAGAUGAUUUAUAAUGAAAUGAAAAAGAUACUUAAAUAUACCUUCCUGAAGAAACCAGAGGCCUUUCUCCUGGGCAUGGUCGGCCAAUUGGUGCCAAAGAAGGAUGAGCCUUUUUUAUGUAUGCAACAACAGCAGCAAGAAUACUCAUCGCGAAGUAUUGGAAGACACAAGAUUUACCCACCCGGGAAGAAUGGCAGAUGAAGUUGAUGGACUAUAUGGAAUUGGCGAAAAUGACUGGCAGAAUCCAAGACCAGGGAGAAGAGUUGGUGGAAGAAGACUGGAAAAAGUUUAAAGACUAUUUACAGAAAUACUGUAAAAUUAAUGAAUGUUAGAAAAAUGUUGGAAUGAAAUUAUAUGGCUUUAGUAGGAAUGUUAUAAGCAAUUAAGUAUAAAUAGAUUAAUAGAGUAUUAAAGGAAAAAAUAAGGUUAGAAUGUGUUAAGAUAAUUAUAGGAUAGAAAACAGAGGAAGAUGGAAAGGAAUUGCUGAAACAAUUAACAGAAGUGGAAUACAAAAAGGGAGGUGUGAGGAGGUCGUGGAAAUAAGUGAAUGAAAGAUAAGAUAUUGAAAUUGUUUGAUUUAUUUUAAACUGUUUUUGUUUUGUUUUGUUAGUUUAAUGUGUUUAAUGUGUCAUUGUUAUGUAGUGUUUUUGUAUUGUAUUGUAUUGUAUUGUAUUGUUUUUGUAGUGUUUAAAUUGUUGGAAAAGUAAUAAAUAUUAAUUAAAAAAAACAACACAAUAUCCCUCCCCCCAAAUCAGGCAGAGGCACCUUCUGUGACCAGCGUCCCUGCUUGCAGAAGCUGGCAUUGCCUGGUUUUCAGGAAUCCCCUUUUCUCUCAACCUCUGAGCUGCAUGCCUCCCUAUUCUGCAAGGUCCUCUAACAUUUGGGAGAGACUUUGUAAAGGGACAGGAUCAGGGGGCUAUGUAGGGGGGGGGAGUAGAUGGGAAUAAGGAAAGUUCACUUCCCCCUGCCCCCUUCUGUGGGCAUUCUCUGGGUCCACUCUUUCAUAUGGUAUAGUCCUCUGGUUGACCAUUCAUGUUCCUGGAGGCCACUUUGAGAAGUAUGAGGUGGACCAACAUCUCAACCUCUAGCCCUCUGUCACGGGGCCAAGAGUCAGCUUUGCCUGUCUGAAGGGGGAGAAGGUGGAGUGACUCCCACCUGCAACUGAUCAGUCUUCAAGGACACUGAGGAGAAGACACGGAUAAGGACCAGCUGGCUACAGCCUUCUUAAGCAGAGCUUCCAGCAGCAGUCAGAUGCCGGUAACAGCGCUUGUAUUUCCUGGCCCUACCUUGCUUCUUCCUGCUAGUCUUGACCCUUGACCCUCUGAUCAUUGGAUUCCCUGUCCCCUGGACCAUCUGACCACGCAGAUUGCUGUGUGCCCGACCCUAAGACUGGAUCUGACUUUGGAUGCUGACUCUGCCUCCAGGCAAGUACACCUCAGAGACACUUCUGGUUGGCUGGCCUCUCCCUCCACUGAGCUCUGCAAGUUGUUGCUCAGCAACGAGAUUAUGACACCCUACAAAGUAGCCUGCUUGUAAAUUUUGCUCUGGAGUACAUAUUUUCCUCACCAGAUGCUUCUAAGUAGGCUGCUAUUGGGCCUGGUGGCUUCUUGGAGGCUAUAUUUGACUGAGGAGUUGCUGUUCCAUAAUGCAGUCUAUAUUCUUUGUUGCUUAUAGCCCUCUUUCAGGUUAAUCAGCCACAGUAAUUCCUACAGACUCCCUUGGCUCCAAAUUCAUUUUCAUGCUUUUAGUUCUUCAACCUUCCUAUUGUUAAAUGAAAAAAAGUUCACUUCACUUUAUAAAAUAAGCAUGUUUCACCUCUUUCAGUUUUAACAUAUGCGUCCCAGUUUUAUUUAUUUUGUACAGUUUUGAUGUGUUGCAUCAAGCUGUAUCAAUCAUAUAGCAUGGUUCUAUAAAGCAGUGUGAUUGACAGCAAGGAGCUGACACAUAGCAAUCCAAGCAGUUCAAGUUCUAAAUCAAGAUGUAUUCAAUGAAUAUAUUUACAGCUGGAAAUACUUCUUGCUCAUCUUUAUAAAUGAGAUUGCACAUUUUUGGUUAAAAAAUAUAGCACAGAUCUUUUCACCUUACUUUUUUAGCUGUCACUUAAACUGUCCUGUGACAUUGAGUCUCAUAAUCGCCAUUCAUAACCCUGUCAAUAUUAGUUGAUGUAUGGAAGCUUCUUUGAAUAUAACUUUACUUGGAGCAUGCUCACGGACAUUCAGUGAAAACCUGUGCGUUUCUCACAUCUGUUGUGUCACUGGCAGCUUAAUCUUUCUGCUACCUGCGUGCGAUCCUUGAGCUGUUUAUAAUUAUCACUGCAGUACAAGAGGAGGGACUGAGAAGCUGCCAUAUUUUAGCUCUUCCACAUGCUGAAGAGACCUGAAGUCAACUGAUGUCAGAGGCUUCAUUGGCACUAGGAGUCAGCAUGUAGCACCUAUUGGAAACAAUCAGUUUUGUGAGUGGAUGUAAAAACUAGCCUACUAUACAAAAGUAGAAUGUUCAUUUAUUGCUCUACUCACUUUUACCUCUACCACACCAACCACUGGUGGAAAGUGAGUGCAAUGGCUAAUGAGUGCAGUGGCUGAUGGGAUUGCCAACUGUUGUUUCCUGCUCUCCUGCCCCCUUCUGCUGUUUUUCUAAAACAUAUUUUGAUCUCCCCUCAUUUUCCCAGCAUUUUUCUUAGUUAUUUAUUUAUUGGUUAGUUGUUUGGUUGUUUGGUUGCCCAUGUAAAAUAGCGUUGGCAUAAGCAAAGUGAGUGUAGGUUGCGGGCUUACUGUAGAGUGUUGCCAUCUGCUUAAGCUUGUGAAAGGUAUUCAGUCAGGGCGAGUGAUACUUGUCAGUAUUUUGUUUUAAUCCAUACAGUUGAAAUUUAAAUUGGAAUUCUACAACAUAAUAUGCCUUCUAAUUACAUGAAGACUUUUCAUUCCACAUGCCUCUGGAAAAAUGGUAUGUUUUGGCUCUAUGCCCCCCCCCCAUUUUUUGGGUUAAUGAAUGAGAAUAUUAUUAUAUUUUUAAAUCCAGUAAAUGAAUAAAUUCAGAUUUGGUACCUGAGCCUCAAAGAUAUCUGAAGUUUCAUAUGAUGAAUAUGUACAAUGCACAGCAUUCAGUAUACUAGUCUGUGUUGCUGGAUAACACAAUAGUUAUAUGAGUUUAAAACGUUUUAGCAAGCAUUUGUGAAUCAAGGAAGUUCUGUCAUUGCAUGCAUGAAAAAUCUUUUCCUGUUCCAUGUUUCUCAUGGGUGAGGUUCUGGAAAACCAUGCCUGUGGUUCUGGAAAAGCAAUUCCAGAAUGGGAUCAGCCCCAAGCAGAUUUCUCUGUGUGGAAGGAAUAGUAGGCAGAAACUCAAAUGAUAGAAAGAUAUUAUGGAUGAGCAGAGACAGGAAUGGUGAUGUUCAGCUUCCAGACCAGAUGGGCUACUGUGUCUGCUCAUAAGGAGGAUGAAUGUUCCAAAAUGCCUCUGUAGACUCUAGAAUAUAUCACUGAUACUAGAGGUCAGAGUAAGCACAGAGGAAAGGCUUGUGCUAACACCAAGUUAUAGUGACUAAGGAGCCCUAGCUAUCAAAGCAGCCCCCAUGAGCACUUUUAAUUUCCACAGCACUGUUUGUCUCCAGAACUUUCUUAUUGUUAGAAGAACAGAAAGCUAAAUACUUCCCCAGGAAAUAAAGCAAGCUCAGAAAUGAAUUUUAACAAGUUUUACUGAAAAUCAUAAAAUAGAAAAUACAAUAUGCUCAAAUUACACAGCAUUUUAAAAGGGUUUCUGAAUAAAUUGAAAUUAAAGUAAUGAUAUAGAGAAAUAAUUAGGUUUUAACAGCUUGUGCUAUCUUGAAAUAAAGAGUUACAAGAGAAAGGAUUAAGAUUCCUGUAAAAGAAAUAAGAAUUAAGAGAGAUUUAACCUAAUUAAAGUAAUAAUUCUUUUCCCUUCUACUGGCCAGGCUGGAAAGAAUGUUUCAUCAAAAAGAAAAAGAAAAAAAGGUACUUUACUUUAUAAGCUACUAUACUUUAGAGAAGGUAUCCUUAUUAGUAGAGCACGAAUAUACCUUAAUUCCCUAGAAUUAUACAUAUUGUAUCUACCUUUGAAUCAUCAUUUAUAUUAUCUCUGCAAGUAAAGCCUAGAAUUUCAUAUAGCCAGGUAGGUCUAAAAUGAGAAAAAUACCUGUCAAGUUUACCAGCACAUCCUUGAGUCCCUGAGAAAAAUAUUACACAGUUUCUCUUUCAUUGGGGUCACCUUAUUGUCUGUCUCUUGACCCAUUUUAACUACAAUAUUCAAAGGCUUAGUGAAAGAAUAAACUAUAUCAAAGCAUUCUCUGUAACAUUCUUAACAUAUGUCUUUCAUAUAGAAGCACAAAACUAAUUGGUAGAAACCAUCACUCUCCCAUCAGAGCUCGUCCACAAACUACGGUAAGAUCUUGGGUAACAUGGUUCACAUGAGAUAUAAUGUAAUGGAUGUAUGAAUAAACAUGACUCAAUCCGUUCCAAAAGUCAUUCACACUUUCAUCUGCUAUUUUCCAUUCUGCAGCAAUUGGUUUAUUUGCACAAGUCUUUCUUCCAUUUCAUCAGCUGCUGAUGCAGUAAUAUAAGUUUUGGGUUUUGUUUUACAUAUCUCACAGUGUACAAUAGACACACAUAUCCCAGCCAUCAACAGAUAUUUACAAAUCAGCUACCUUCUGUGUGCUCCCUUUCAACACUAAUGAAUUUCCAGAGGUGUAAAACAACAAAGAGUCUUAUGGUAAUUAAAGACAAAGUUAAAGAAGUGGUUAGUGGCCCAUCACAAAGUGAUCUAUGGUUCUAACCUUGACUACCCAGAAGGAAGUCCUACUGAAUUCAGUUAGGCUGAAGCCCUAACCCAACUUAAGAUGAGAGUAAACCUAUCUCAAUAGCUUGACUUCAGAGUUUAGUAUUAACUUGACAUAAUGUUUCAUUUCCCUCACUCAGGCAUCAGGGAGGGAUAGUUUAGCACCCUGCUGAUAUUUUGCAUUUUGUAUCUUAGAUUAUAUGAAUUACUCCUGCCACUGAACUGCAAAUAAGUCUCCCCCCCAAUUGUAACAAUUUAUUUAAUAAACUUGUAUUUUAUUCAGAAGUUGGCAAUGUGCAUGUCAGCUGAAACAUAACAUUCAGGGUAAUCGCCAUGCGAAAAGAAUGAUUUCUCCAUGUGAAAACAACAAUAAUGCACACAAUGCAUUCUAUUGCUUUUUGAAAUUCACAGUGGGAAGCGAGCCCCACUGAAUUCUGUGAGAUUGACUUCUCAGCCUUAGUGCAUAUAGUCUGUCUCAAGCAAUGACCAACUUCAAUAAACAACACUCCC
RNAcentral lists this long non-coding RNA (7168 nucleotides) under Podarcis lilfordi (Lilford's wall lizard). Lineage: Eukaryota; Metazoa; Chordata; Lepidosauria; Squamata; Lacertidae. The record is from RNAcentral.